AGUCGAGAUGGCCGAGUUGGUCUAAGGCGCCAGAUUAAGGUUCUGUUCCGAAAGGGCGUGGGUUCAAAUCCCACUCUCGACAAUAUUAGAUC
Molecule: transfer RNA, 92 nt
Filed under: Helianthus annuus (common sunflower)
Lineage: Eukaryota; Viridiplantae; Streptophyta; Magnoliopsida; Asterales; Asteraceae
Description: tRNA-Leu
Rfam family: tRNA (bases 2-82)
About the family: Transfer RNA (tRNA) molecules are approximately 80 nucleotides in length. Their secondary structure includes four short double-helical elements and three loops (D, anti-codon, and T loops). Further hydrogen bonds mediate the characteristic L-shaped molecular structure. tRNAs have two regions of fundamental functional importance: the anti-codon, which is responsible for specific mRNA codon recognition, and the 3' end, to which the tRNAs corresponding amino acid is attached (by aminoacyl-tRNA synthetases). tRNAs cope with the degeneracy of the genetic code in two manners: having more than one tRNA (with a specific anti-codon) for a particular amino acid; and 'wobble' base-pairing, i.e. permitting non-standard base-pairing at the 3rd anti-codon position.
Source: RNAcentral